GCAAACUUGGUCAUUUAGAGGAAGUAAAAGUCGUAACAAGGUUUCCGUAGGUGAACCUGCGGAAGGAUCAUUACUGAGUGAGGGCCCUCUGGGUCCAACCUCCCACCCGUGUUUUAUUGUACCUUGUUGCUUCGGCAGGCCCGCCUCACGGCCGCCGGGGGGCCUCUGCCCCCGGGCCCGCGCCUGCCGAAGACACCCUUGAACGCUGUCUGAAGUUUGCAGUCUGAGCGAAAAGCAAAAUUUAUUUAAAACUUUCAACAACGGAUCUCUUGGUUCCGGCAUCGAUGAAGAACGCAGC
This 298-nucleotide unclassified non-coding RNA is filed under the name uncultured fungus. RNAcentral describes it as "partial contains small subunit ribosomal RNA, internal transcribed spacer 1, and 5.8S ribosomal RNA". The stretch from base 1 to 73 matches the Rfam family "Eukaryotic small subunit ribosomal RNA", at positions 1759 to 1831 of the family's 1831-position model. The record is from RNAcentral. Lineage: Eukaryota; Fungi.